RNAcentral lists this transfer RNA (85 nucleotides) under Verrucomicrobiota bacterium. Its description in RNAcentral is "Verrucomicrobia bacterium (freshwater metagenome) tRNA-Leu". It matches the Rfam family "tRNA". From Rfam's summary of the family: Transfer RNA (tRNA) molecules are approximately 80 nucleotides in length. Their secondary structure includes four short double-helical elements and three loops (D, anti-codon, and T loops). Lineage: Bacteria; Pseudomonadati; Verrucomicrobiota. The record is from RNAcentral.
GCGGAUAUGGCGGAAUUGGCAGACGCGCUACUUUGAGGUGGUAGUGCCGUAAGGCGUGCAGGUUCAAGUCCUGCUAUCCGCACCC